RNAcentral lists this ribosomal RNA (110 nucleotides) under Castor canadensis (American beaver). Lineage: Eukaryota; Metazoa; Chordata; Mammalia; Rodentia; Castoridae. The record is from RNAcentral.
GCUUAAGGCGAUACCACCUUCAAUGCACCUGAACUUUCUGAACUCAGAAGCUAAGCAGGGUUGGGCCUAGUUAGUACUUGGAUGGGGCAGUUUGCUAGUUACCACAAUUU